CCUACGGGUGGCAGCAGUGGGGAAUAUUGCACAAUGGGCGCAAGCCUGAUGCAGCCAUGCCGCGUGUGUGAAGAAGGCCUUCGGGUUGUAAAGCACUUUCAGCGGGGAGGAAGGCGGUGAGGUUAAUAACCUCAUCGAUUGACGUUACCCGCAGAAGAAGCACCGGCUAACUCCGUGCCAGCAGCCGCGGUAAUACGGAGGGUGCAAGCGUUAAUCGGAAUUACUGGGCGUAAAGCGCACGCAGGCGGUCUGUCAAGUCGGAUGUGAAAUCCCCGGGCUCAACCUGGGAACUGCAUUCGAAACUGGCAGGCUAGAGUCUUGUAGAGGGGGGUAGAAUUCCUGGUGUAGCGGUGAAAUGCGUAGAGAUCUGGAGGAAUACCGGUGGCGAAGGCGGCCCCCUGGACAAAGACUGACGCUCAGGUGCGAAAGCGUGGGGAGCAAACAGGAUUAGAUACCCUUGUAGUC
Molecule: ribosomal RNA, 465 nt
Filed under: uncultured Klebsiella sp.
Lineage: Bacteria; Pseudomonadati; Pseudomonadota; Gammaproteobacteria; Enterobacterales; Enterobacteriaceae
Description: bacterial SSU rRNA
Rfam family: Bacterial small subunit ribosomal RNA
Source: RNAcentral